GUGUUACACUGCCUUAGGACCUGGCAGUCUCACUCCUAGGUGUUUACCCAAGUAUCUUAAAUAGUGAAGAUGGAGAAAUAUUCAAUAAUGAAGAGCAUGAAUAUGCAUCCAAAAAAAGGAAAAAGGACCAUUUUAGAAAUGACACAAAUACUCAAAAGGCAUGGCUAUUGCACCUUGGGAGAAGCCUUUAAUCGGUUAGACUUCUCAAGUGCAAUUCAAGAUAUCCGAAGGUUCAAUUAUGUGGUCAAACUGUUGCAGCUAAUUGCAAAAUCCCAGUUAACUUCAUUGAGUGGUGUGGCACAAAAGAAUUACUUCAACAUUUUGGAUAAAAUCGUUCAAAAGGUUCUUGAUGACCACCACAAUCCUCGCUUAAUCAAAGAUCUUCUGCAAGACCU
This 395-nucleotide small RNA is filed under the name Pongo abelii (Sumatran orangutan). Its description in RNAcentral is "processed transcript". The record is from RNAcentral. Lineage: Eukaryota; Metazoa; Chordata; Mammalia; Primates; Hominidae.